This 497-nucleotide ribosomal RNA is filed under the name uncultured bacterium. Its description in RNAcentral is "partial 16S ribosomal RNA". It matches the Rfam family "Bacterial small subunit ribosomal RNA", at positions 28 to 507 of the family's 1533-position model. The record is from RNAcentral.
GAUGAACGCUGGCGGCGUGCCUAAUACAUGCAAGUCGAGCGAACAGACGAGGAGCUUGCUCCUCUGACGUUAGCGGCGGACGGGUGAGUAACACGUGGAUAACCUACCUAUAAGACUGGGAUAACUUCGGGAAACCGGAGCUAAUACCGGAUAAUAUAUUGAACCGCAUGGGUCAAUAGUGAAAGACGGUUUUGCGGUCACUUAUAGAUGGAUCCGCGCCGCAUGAGAUGGUUGGUAAGGUAAGGGGCUACCAAGGCGACGAUGGGUAGCCGACAUGAGGGGGGGAUCGGCCACACGGGAACUGAGACACGGACAAGAGGCCUAAGGGAGGCAGCAGUAGGGAAUCUUACGCAAUGGGCGAAAGCCUGACGGAGCAACGCCGCGUGAGUGAUGAAGGUCUUCGGAUCGUAAAGCUCUGUUAUGAGGGAAGAACAAAUGUGUAAGUAACUAUGCACGUCUUGACGGUACCUAAUCAGAAAGCCACGGCUAACUACGUG